RNAcentral lists this ribosomal RNA (370 nucleotides) under uncultured Methanomicrobiales archaeon. Its description in RNAcentral is "bacterial SSU rRNA". It matches the Rfam family "Archaeal small subunit ribosomal RNA", at positions 970 to 1338 of the family's 1478-position model. Lineage: Archaea; Methanobacteriati; Methanobacteriota; Methanomicrobia; Methanomicrobiales. The record is from RNAcentral.
ACUUGACUGGCUGAGAGGAGGUGCAUGGCCGUCGUCAGUUCGUACUGUGAAGCAUCCUGUUAAGUCAGGCAACGAGCGAGACCCACGCCAACAGUUGCCAGCUCGUCCUCCGGGGAUGGUGGGGACACUGUUGGGACCGCCUCUGCUAAAGAGGAGGAAGGAAUGGGCAACGGUAGGUCAGCAUGCCCCGAAUUAUCUGGGCUACACGCGGGCUACAAUGGGUGGGACAAUGGGUAUCGACACCGAAAGGUGAAGGCAAUCUCCUAAACCCAUCCGUAGUUCGGAUUGUGGGCUGCAACUCGCCCACAUGAAGCUGGAAUCUGUAGUAAUCGUGUCUCAAAAUGGCACGGUGAAUAUGUCCCUGCUCCUU